UACGUAGGUGGCAAGCGUUGUCCGGAAUUAUUGGGCGUAAAGCGCGCGCAGGCGGUCCUUUAAGUCUGAUGUGAAAGCCCACGGCUCAACCGUGGAGGGUCAUUGGAAACUGGGGGACUUGAGUACAGAAGAGAAGAGUGGAAUUCCACGUGUAGCGGUGAAAUGCGUAGAGAUGUGGAGGAACACCAGUGGCGAAGGCGACUCUUUGGUCUGUAACUGACGCUGAGGCGCGAAGCGUGG
Molecule: ribosomal RNA, 240 nt
Filed under: uncultured bacterium
Lineage: Bacteria
Description: partial 16S ribosomal RNA
Rfam family: Bacterial small subunit ribosomal RNA
Source: RNAcentral